This 807-nucleotide ribosomal RNA is filed under the name uncultured bacterium. RNAcentral describes it as "bacterial SSU rRNA". It matches the Rfam family "Bacterial small subunit ribosomal RNA", at positions 60 to 914 of the family's 1533-position model. The record is from RNAcentral.
AGUCGAACGCCCGAGCAAUCGGGAGUGGCAGACGGGUGAGUAACACGUGGGAACAUACCCUUCGGUUCGGAACAACGUUUGGAAACGAACGCUAAUACCGGAUACGGCUUGAGGGCGAAAGAUUCAUCGCCGAAGGAUUGGCCCGCGUUCGAUUAGCUAGAUGGCGGGGUAACGGCCCACCAUGGCGACGAUCGAUAGCUGGUCUGAGAGGAUGGCCAGCCACAUUGGGACUGAGACACGGCCCAAACUCCUACGGGAGGCAGCAGUGGGGAAUAUUGGACAAUGGGCGCAAGCCUGAUCCAGCCAUGCCGCGUGAGUGAUGACGGCCUUAGGGUUGUAAAGCUCUUUCGCACGCGACGAUAAUGACGGUAGCGUGAGAAGAAGCCCCGGCUAACUUCGUGCCAGCAGCCGCGGUAAUACGAAGGGGGCUAGCGUUGUUCGGAAUCACUGGGCGUAAAGGGUGCGUAGGCGGAUUCUUAAGUCAGGGGUGAAAUCCCGAGGCUCAACCUCGGAACUGCCUUUGAUACUGGGGAUCUUGAGUCCGGAAGAGGUGAGUGGAACUGCGAGUGUAGAGGUGAAAUUCGUAGAUAUUCGCAAGAACACCGGUGGCGAAGGCGGCUCACUGGUCCGGAACUGACGCUGAGGCACGACAGCGUGGGGAGCAAACAGGAUUAGAUACCCUGGUAGUCCACGCCGUAAACGAUGAAUGCCAGCCGUUGGGUGAUUUAUCACUGAGUGGCGCAGCUAACGCUUUGAGCAUUCCGCCUGGGGAGUACGGUCGCAAGAUUAAAACUCAAAGGAAUUGAC